AAGACCUUGCACUUUUGGAGCGGCCGAUGUCUGAUUAGCUAGUUGGUGGGGUAAUGGCCUACCAAGGCUUCGACCAGUAGCUGGUCUGAGAGGACGGCCAGCCACACUGGGACUGAGACACGGCCCAGACUCCUACGGGAGGCAGCAGUGGGGAAUUUUGGACAAUGGGCGCAAGCCUGAUCCAGCCAUGCCGCGUGAGUGAAGAAGGCCUUCGGGUUGUAAAGCUCUUUCAGCCGGGAAGAAAAGGUUGCGACUAAUAAUCGCAAUCCAUGACGGUACCGAAAGAAGAAGCACCGGCUAACUACGUGCCAGCAGCCGCGGUAAUACGUAGGGUGCGAGCGUUAAUCGGAAUUACUGGGCGUAAAGGGUGCGCAGGCGGUUUUGUAAGUCAGAUGUGAAAUCCCCGGGCUUAACCUGGGAACU
RNAcentral lists this ribosomal RNA (423 nucleotides) under uncultured bacterium. RNAcentral describes it as "bacterial SSU rRNA". It matches the Rfam family "Bacterial small subunit ribosomal RNA", at positions 207 to 622 of the family's 1533-position model. The record is from RNAcentral.